CUGAGAAGUCAAGGGGUCCUGGGGUUGGGGUUCAGGCAGGAGGUGGUAAGGAAGAGGUAGAAGACCCCAGGGCAGAGGCCUUAGACUUGAGCACAGAGCUAAAGGACUAGAAAUCAAACAAUAAAUUCCAGUCUCACACUUCUGCCAUAAAUGAAACUAAAUAUGUUAUUACCUUAACCUUUUAAUAAACAGAAAACCUUUAAAAAUACAACAUCCCAGGCCCCUGUUGAAGAAUUCCUGGGAGUGGAAAAUCCAGUUUUCGGCCUCUGGUCCCUUCAGCCCUUCAGCUCUGUUGGACAAAGGGACAUCUGUGCUUUCCCCGGCAGAGACUUGGAAAAUCUGAGGCCCUGGCUCUGUGGUAGGGGAAGGCUGGAGGGUGGGGAGGGCUCUGUCCUGGGGCAGCCAGGAGGGCAUGCAGCUCCCCAUUAGGUGCCAAAGUCACUGUGUUUUCCCAGUGUGGGGUCACCCAUAUUCACAAUGGAUUCAGCUUCCUGAAGUAGGGCCUCAAAAAAACUUCCCUCUUCACUUUGCUGAUAUCUGAAUGCCAUAAUAUUGAACUUUAUUCCUUUUGACUUGAGCAUCAACUCUGGCACUUGUUAAAAAUAUUUCUGGAAGGGAACAUGUAUUUAGCCUAUCAGUCACUUACAUCUUGGUAUAAAUGAGGUUACUGACUCUUCCCUCAGGAAGUCUGAUGGAGGGGAUGGUGGUGGGGAAGUGGAGGUAGUGGUUGAAUGUCCAUCUGAGCCAGACAGCCUGGGUUCAGAGCACACUCUGCAGGUCCCUGAACCUCCCAGUCUGCUUUCUUGUAUAUAAAUUGGCACCAAAAACACCUGCCUCUUUAGGCUGAGGUUUUAUGAAAAGUAGUAGUAGAAUCAUAAGAGAACAAAAUGAAGACACUAGAAGCUUGGCAAAAUGCAGCUACUCACCUCAGGGGAAAUUCACUCUGCAAAGAAGAUAAAAUCUUUCUUAAUGGCAUAGUUUGUCCUGUUGAUCCCAGACUCCUUCCCUUUUCCUGUGGGUGCUAAGGUAGAUAUCUCCCAGCAUCCUCAGGACUGUGGUAUGGUCAUGGGGCUGGCUUCUGGCUAGGGAAGGUGGGCAGGGUUUUCUUCCUCCUGUGCUUGUGGUUGGCAGAGGAUCCUGUCUCAGGGGAUUGUGGGGCCAUCAAGGAGGGUGCUGGGGUCCCUGAAGAAAUGCAUGGAGCAGAGAACCUCUUCUAACCCACAAAGGAAUGUAGGAAAUACACCUUUGCUAAGCCACUGUGAUUUGGGAAUUGCUUAUUAUGGGCUUAACUUGCGCUUACUGUUGCUUUCUUUCCUUCUCAGGAUCCUGCACAAGGAGGAAGGGUGAGGUAGGAGGAAAGGGCCAAGAGCCAAGGACCUAGAAAAUAACCCAAAACAUCCUCCGCAGGCUGCAGGCACUGGUCAUCAGCUGCCAAAUGUACCUGGGGUCAACCUGGAAGUUCAAGGUGAUCACGGUAUGCAAACCAUCAAGGCUUCAACGUCCCACAAGGGUCAUCACUGGCUGGCAGUCUCUGAGGGGAUGGAGCUAAGGAUAUGGAGCAGAAGUUCAGUGCUAAUGAAAAAGGAAAGAUUUGCCAGGAGCCGAUUUGACCGGAAUGAUAUGGCAAGAGAAAAAAAUGCCACCAAGUUUUAACAGGGACAUGACAUAAGGUCAAGAUUUUGAACACCAUUUUGAGAACCACUGUGGCUUCAUUAUUGAGUCCCAUGAACUCUCUCACAAGCUCAGGGCUGGGUGGAUAAGGACUGGAGGGAAAAAUCUGCUUUUCCAGGAAUGGACCAAUAUGGAUUAUCUGGUGUUACAUAAAACUAGUAAUUCUACAGUUUAAUAAAAACACAAGUCGGCAGAUAAGAAAAACGUGUAUCCUCUUAUGCUUAAGCCGUUUCUAUGCUUAAGCAAGCUAUUUCUAAGGGCCUAGAACUUUCAGCUGAGAUUAAGGAAAUGAACACAUUAUAAAUCUGCAGGCAUUUAAGUCUCUUUGACACAAGACAAUGAACUCAUGAAAGAAGUUUUCAAUCAGACAACCCAUAAUACUUGAUGUAGAAAAUGUUCCAGCUUCCAUACUUCUUUAUUAAAUACUUGACAAGCUGCAUCACUUCUUUACAAUGACUUCAUUAUGUCACAUUACUUUUUUGCUGUCAGAAAAACAAACUACAAAUUUUCUUUAGAUCUCUCAAGAAGAAAGAAAAGCAAAAAAA
Heterocephalus glaber (naked mole-rat) is the source of this 2216-nucleotide long non-coding RNA. RefSeq lists it as uncharacterized. NCBI's taxonomy places the organism in Eukaryota, Metazoa, Chordata, Mammalia, Rodentia, Bathyergidae. The record is from RefSeq and is a predicted model, not a curated record.